Zopfia rhizophila CBS 207.26 is the source of this 86-nucleotide non-coding RNA. NCBI's taxonomy places the organism in Eukaryota, Fungi, Ascomycota, Dothideomycetes, Zopfiaceae. The record is from the annotation of a GenBank genome assembly.
GCCCGCGUGGCUUAGUGGUACAGCGUCUCACUCGUAUUCUUUAUGCGUUUAUGAGAAGAUCCUCGGUUCGAUUCCGAGCGUGGGCA